Molecule: long non-coding RNA, 1450 nt
Filed under: Solanum tuberosum (potato)
Lineage: Eukaryota; Viridiplantae; Streptophyta; Magnoliopsida; Solanales; Solanaceae
Description: long non-coding RNA (STUB_LNC000748)
Source: RNAcentral
AAUUCCUAAGACCCCAUCUUUUAAUCCUAACCAUCGAUCUCACCCUUUAAAUAUCAGCCUCCCAUCUCAAUUUUAAUCAACGGCUCGGAUUAGAUAUCUCAUACCUUUCUAUUCUAAACAAAAGAACUCAAAACCCUAAGACAAUUCAUUCUUCUUCUUCCCAAAGAAAAGAGCAACGCCGCUCUUUCUCUUCUCCUCCCUUCCAGCGAAGCCACUCCGGCGAGGCCGCCAGAGGCGGCGACGUACCUCUUUCUCUCCCCUCUCUCCUCUUCUCCUUCCCUCCUAUCUUCCGUCGCUCUUCCCCUUUCCCUUUCUCGCUUCUCGCAGUAGCCGCUCCACCGACGAAGACCACCAGGCAGCAGCUGCAGCUCCAGCUGCUGUACAGUAGCUACCCACAAAGCCACUGCGAAGAAGCAGCAGCAACCAGGCAUCGCCCCUCUUCUCCAACGCUGCUGCUUCAGCAGCUGCCUCCGCUCUCCUCUCCGGCGAAGAAAUUGACAACGCCAACAACAACUAACAUCUCUGGUCAACGACAAUAGGCAACAAAAUCAUGGUGUCAUUCUUCCUUCAUCUUUGUGAAUGCUCAUGCGUUAAUGUCUUCCCUUUUUGAUUUGCAUGUUUGUUAAUAUGAUUAUACAAAUUUUUAAGCUCUUUACUUGUCUGAUUUUAUUAUGUAAUUUUUGUCCUUAGAUUCUGAAUUUUAGUAAUUUACUGCACACAAGAAAUUUGAAUAGAUCAUUAUGUUUUUGGUGUUUCUAUUUCUUCAUUGUUGUAUAUUUUAUUUGAUUUGAUAAUAAGAGUGUUUUUCUAACUAUGGUGAUUUCAGCGAUAUCUUUAUCCUUGCGUAUUUUGUAAAUAUUGAAUUCGGGUCAUUUAUGAAUCAGACAAUUCCUUUUAAAAUUUUUGGUAAACAUGAGAAAGAUAUGGAUGCUCUUUACAAGAAGCCAAAGGUAGAUAGAACUCCUAUCAUUUGAAAGGGGUUUAAAGUCCAAUUGUGAAACUCUUAGAAUCUGUGUAAUCAUGUUAAGCAUAAUUACCAACCUUCUUACUCAAGGUGAAUUUUUAGAACCUCCAUAAAAGAUUACUUUUGUUUCUAUUUAGUUGAAGUAUCUCAAAAUUAGAGUACUAAUAUACUUAGUUUGAUUGAUUGUUAGUUAGUAAGUGAAUGAUUUAGGGUUUUUGAUUGUUAGUUUGAAUUAGAGAUUAUUUGAUUGUUAGUUUGUGUUUGUUGAUUGUGAAUUGAAAAUUUUAAUGUUACGGUUAGUUUGAAUUAGGGUAUCUUAGGAUUUGUUUGAAAUUCGGUAUUUCUUGAGUUAAUUAGUUUGAUUUUGGAAUUGUAAGAUUAGAUUGAAUUAGGAUAUUUAAGGAGUUAUUUGAAUUUGAACUUAGAACUUGAACUUAGAAUUUGAAGUUAAACUUAGAACUUGAACUUGAAAUUAGAACUUGAACU